This 253-nucleotide ribosomal RNA is filed under the name uncultured bacterium. RNAcentral's name for it is "partial 16S ribosomal RNA". It matches the Rfam family "Bacterial small subunit ribosomal RNA", at positions 524 to 776 of the family's 1533-position model. The record is from RNAcentral.
UACGUAGGGUGCGAGCGUUGUCCGGAAUUAUUGGGCGUAAAGAGCUCGUAGGCGGUUUGUCGCGUCUGCCGUGAAAGUCCGGGGCUCAACUCCGGAUCUGCGGUGGGUACGGGCAGACUAGAGUAAUGUAGGGGAGACUGGAAUUCCUGGUGUAGCGGUGAAAUGCGCAGAUAUCAGGAGGAACACCGAUGGCGAAGGCAGGUCUCUGGGCAUUAACUGACGCUGAGGAGCGAAAGCAUGGGGAGCGAACAGG